RNAcentral lists this long non-coding RNA (4855 nucleotides) under Zea mays. RNAcentral describes it as "long non-coding RNA (ZMAY_LNC004969)". The record is from RNAcentral. Lineage: Eukaryota; Viridiplantae; Streptophyta; Magnoliopsida; Poales; Poaceae.
CUUCUUGCUGCAAUGCAUCUCCUUGAAAAGAUAUAUUGCACUAGGUUCUGCACCCUUAUAUUUUUGUUGCUUAUGAAAUGAUAUAAAACGAGUCCGGUGAGAAUGGUGGUCAUGAAAUAAGGUACAUGUUGAAUUUCGAAAUAACAAUUUAAAAGGCAUUUUAGAUAUGAGCAGUGCUAAAACAUUUAAAUGAAAUGUUAUGAAAGCAUCCUCCAAGUCAGAUGGGUCAAUAACAAAAAUAAAUACAAUUCAUCCAAAUGGAAUAAUUAGGACAUCACAAUCAUAUGUCAAGAAAUAAAAAAAACACCUCAGCAUAGUUGUGUCCAUCAGUAAAAGAGCAUAUGCCAUGCUUAGUUAAUCAUUCCAGCAAUAAAAGAGCAUAUGUCAUGCUUAGUUAAUCAUUGUGUUCAAGGUGGGCUACAAUUGUCUAUCAGGUGAGAAGAUAAAUUGAAUUAGGAAGUAUGAAUAGUACUGGUAGCUUACAUACCAAAUGAAAAUGUUUAUUUUUUUUAAACUAUCCAUUUGAUAGACCUCCAGAGAACAACAGAAUGGAGACGCCCUCUCUCUUAUCUAUCAGCUGAAGCCUCAAGGAUUCCUUUCCAGUGUUUUCAUAAUCACGAUUUGUGUAGUUUGCAAAUUGGAACUACCAAAAAUAUGAAGCCUCCAUCAGGCGUAUGUUCAGGUAAGAGUUAUAAAGUCACCUAAACUUCAUAUAGAGAAACCUAAAGGAAACAACCCAACCUUGAUAGAAGAUGUGCAAAAAAGAGGGGUUCCACCCACUCAUUCUCUAGUGGACAAAUGGAAUCACUAACAAACCCAAGAAAGCAAAAUACGCAAGAUCAAUUUAGUUUUGCAUUUACCAAAAUGCAUGUAGUAUUCUACUGAAGCAAAUAGCAGACAACACAUUAGUUUAUACCUAAAAUUUGCAGGGGAGAAGACUCCAAUCCAGUCAUAUGAUUACCAUGUCCUAUAUGUGACGGUCACCCAUUCUCUGUUCUCCCUCCUACAACAAAUAAAUAAGACAUAAUAUGAUUGCAGCAGAGGAAACCAUUAAGUAGGGUAAUGGGCCAACAUAUAACUCUUGUUCUGCAAAUUUAAGUCUUAUUUGAACAAUCGAGUAUUGAACGCGCAUAUUUCUUAUGACAAUUUGCAAAAUUCAGCCGCGAGUUUGCAAAGGAAGCCCCCAAACUACUAUGCACGCAUCCAUGGAAGAGCUUAGAGCACGCCGAGCCCAUGAACUGAUGCGUCCAGCGCCCACUGGAAUUAGCCUGAAGCGCCAGAGUUUAAGAGGGCUCACCUCCAGGCCAAGAAGGGUCAGCGACGCGUCGACAAAGGCACCCGACUGGGCGCAAUGAUAGCAUGCCAUGCUUAGUUAAUCAUUCCAGCAAUAAAAGAGCAUAUGUCAUGCUUAGUUAAUCAUUGUGUUCAAGGUGGGCUACAAUUGUCUAUCAGGUGAGAAGAUAAAUUGAAUUAGGAAGUAUGAAUAGUACUGGUAGCUUACAUACCAAAUGAAAAUGUUUAUUUUUUUUAAACUAUCCAUUUGAUAGACCUCCAGAGAACAACAGAAUGGAGACGCCCUCUCUCUUAUCUAUCAGCUGAAGCCUCAAGGAUCCCUUUCCAGUGUUUUCAUAAUCACGAUUUGUGUAGUUUGCAAAUUGGAACUACCAAAAAUAUGAAGCCUCCAUCAGGCGUAUGUUCAGGUAAGAGUUAUAAACAGGGCCGUUCCUGUGGGGGUGCCCAAGGUGCGGCCGCACCGGGCCCCCAAAAUCAGAGGGCCCCCUAGGUACUAGACGCUAGCAUUUUUUCCUAUUAAACCUAUCUAUUCUAGACACAAAUACACAAUGAGCGAUGCACUAUCAAUCAGUCUCGUUUAGAUUGUUAAACUAAUGUCUCAAUGGCUUAUCGAAUACUACAUUCGUUUUAAAAUAGUAUUUAUUUUUGCUCUAUAUUUUUAUGUUUAUAUUCAACUACAUGAUGAUAAAUCCACUAAAGAAGCAAAACGAAUUUUAUUUUGAUAUAGAGAGAGUAUUAUUUACUAUACACAUGAUGGUUGCAUCGUCAAAGAGAAGCUUUUUAAAAUUGAAAUGUUUUUGUGGACUAUUUAUGGUCAACAAUAACUUAAGAGAGGUUAAAUGGCUUGACGAUUCUAUAUAUCGAAAAAAGUUGUUAUGAAAUUGAUCUCAACGAUAUAAGUGAUGACUUCGUAUCACAAAAUGUUAGAAGAUAUUUUUAAUGAUAUCAGAUGAGAAGUAAAUGUUUUUGACUAUAUAUUACAUUUGUUAUCUUAUAAACAUCAAAAAAGUGCAUAAUAAUUUUUAUACGCUAAAUAUUGUAUGUAUAAUUAUAUAUAUUUGUGUGUGGAUGGGUCCACCAUAUCGAAUUUCGCACUGGGCCCCCGAAAAGUCAGGAACGGCCCUGGUUAUAAAGUCACCUAAACUUCAUAUAGAGAAACCUAAAGGAAACAACCCAACCUUGAUAGAAGAUGUGCAAAAAAGAGGGGUUCCACCCACUCAUUCUCUAGUGGACAAAUGGAAUCACUAACAAACCCAAGAAAGCAAAAUACGCAAGAUCAAUUUAGUUUUGCAUUUACCAAAAUGCAUGUAGUAUUCUACUGAAGCAAAUAGCAGACAACACAUUAGUUUAUACCUAAAAUUUGCAGGGGAGAAGACUCCAAUCCAGUCAUAUGAUUACCAUGUCCUAUAUGUGACGGUCACCCAUUCUCUGUUCUCCCUCCUACAACAAAUAAAUAAGACAUAAUAUGAUUGCAGCAGAGGAAACCAUUAAGUAGGGUAAUGGGCCAACAUAUAACUCUUGUUCUGCAAAUUUAAGUCUUAUUUGAACAAUCGAGUAUUGAACGCGCAUAUUUCUUAUGACAAUUUGCAAAAUUCAGCCGCGAGUUUGCAAAGGAAGCCCCCAAACUACUAUGCACGCAUCCAUGGAAGAGCUUAGAGCACGCCGAGCCCAUGAACUGAUGCGUCCAGCGCCCACUGGAAUUAGCCUGAAGCGCCAGAGUUUAAGAGGGCUCACCUCCAGGCCAAGAAGGGUCAGCGACGCGUCGACAAAGGCACCCGACUGGGCGCAAUGAUAGCACGGUGGAUGGGAAUCCUCGAUAGUGGUGCUAGCCACCUCCCACCAUGGCGCGUCGGGUGCGCUGGUCCAUGGUGAAGAAAAAACAAAGCAUUGCACCUUUUUUAUUUUCUAGAAGUAUACUAAUCCAAAUUCAUAUAUAAGAAGAAGAUAUGUAGAGAUAAUGUUUGAAACAAUAUAAAGGCUUGUAAGGGAAAAUACUAUUUGUGUGCUUGUACCCAAAGCAAUGAAAAAAAUCUAAUAUUGCAAUAUCCUUUUCUAGAACCUGCAAUGAGGAGCAGCAACACGACGACCAAAUUGAUAUGUCUAGUCCAUGGUCAUUAACUAGUCUAGGAACAACAACACUAGGACCAAAAUUAUACAUAAAUUAUAUCUGAGGGCCAAUAUAUUUUGCCAAGUUAUAUGAUUCACUUAUAUCUGAAUAUUCUUUUGAUCUUUACCAUUUACAAGUGCAGAUCCCUGUUAUGCUGCAUUUCAUGAUGAAGAGUGCGGAGUUCCUUUUCACAAUGACAAGUAUGCAAAAAUGACUGGUACUUUUUUCUCAUAACAUCAUCAACUUUGACUAAUCAAGUGCUUCAUAUAAAUUGCAGGAAGUUAUUUGAGCUGCUAGUGCUGUAAGGGCAUUAGCUGAACGGACAUGGCCAACAAUUUUAAAUAAGAAAAACAUAUGGAGGUAUCUCUUUUCAUUUCCUAGUGCUCUUGAACCAUAUUAAUUUGUUUGGGAAUCUUAGCAUUCUACUUGUAUGGUUCACAUGGAAGUUUUCAUGGAUUUUGACCCAGUAUUGGUCUCAAAGUUAAGUUUGUGUAGAACUAUACUAAAUUGUACAUUUUAAAAUAUGUAUAACUUGUAUCACGUAUGGACUGAAGGUUGGUAGCAUCAGAUGUUGACAUCCUAUGUGCAAAAUAUUCUCAACCCAGUCAGUGAAAUUGCUGAAUGUUACAUUAAAGUGUUGACCGUGUGAACAAGACUUUUAUGAUAAUUUAAAUGAGGAAUCAUGAUACUAUAAAAGAGGAAGGGUCGUUGCGCAGGCUGGUAAGUGCAAUAUGUUAAAAGAUGCUAAUUUUCCAGGUUGGUUGUGGUGAGCAACUAUGAUUGAACUACAUUUGGGUCUAAAAAGAUCUCAUUCUAUGCAUACUAUUGACAUACCUUAACCCAUAAUUACAGGCCACAAAAAGGUUUUCACAUAUGCGAGAAACAAUUAAUGGCAUAUAUGCUUUUAUGCACUAUAUAGUGUUCACCAAGUCAGUGCAUCAGAGUUGACCAUAUAUGACCAUAGGUUUCUAAAAUUGAAGAAUGUCAAAAGGUUGGAUCCUAGGAGUGUGAACAUUCAUUGAGACAAUGAUAAAGCGACAUCACAUUGCACAUAAUAGGUAUUAGGUAGCAAUCGAAUAUUCUUAAUAUUCCCUGGUUACAUGAAGGAGCAAUUAUACAUCAGUAACAAAAAAAUGUGAACAUAUUUUAAUAAUAACAUCAUGUCAUCACAAGUGCACCAAAAAUAUGUGAACACAUUUUAAUAAUAACAUCAUCGCUUGCCAGAGGCCAAUGCAUCCACCUCUGCCCCGACCGAGUCACAAAAAUGUUGAAGCCCGAAAUGAACCUAAUCAUUCGAAUUCUUGCUGAGAUUUGCUAGGGAAAGAGCUAGUGAACAAGGAAAUAUACAAGAAAGUGCAAGUUGAAGAGCAGAGGGAGGCAUACCUCAAUGAAUUGAACCCUAGUGACAGAGUACCAGCAGAUCUGGCCAGGCAAGGUUGGAGUCCCCAGCGCUGG